Molecule: ribosomal RNA, 253 nt
Filed under: uncultured bacterium
Lineage: Bacteria
Description: partial 16S ribosomal RNA
Rfam family: Bacterial small subunit ribosomal RNA
Source: RNAcentral
UACGAAGGGGGCUAGCGUUGUUCGGAAUUACUGGGCGUAAAGGGCGCGUAGGCGGUGGAUCAAGUCAGGCGUGAAAGCCCCGGGCUCAACCUGGGAACCGCGCUUGAGGCUGGUGCGCUAGAGUUCGGGAGAGGAUGGUGGAAUUCCCAGUGUAGAGGUGAAAUUCGUAGAUAUUGGGAAGAACACCGAUGGCGAAGGCAGCCAUCUGGACCGACACUGACGCUGAGGCGCGAAAGCGUGGGGAGCAAACAGG